RNAcentral lists this ribosomal RNA (253 nucleotides) under uncultured bacterium. RNAcentral's name for it is "partial 16S ribosomal RNA". It matches the Rfam family "Bacterial small subunit ribosomal RNA", at positions 524 to 776 of the family's 1533-position model. The record is from RNAcentral.
CACGUAGGACGCGAGCGUUAUCCGGAUUCACUGGGCGUAAAGCGCUUGCAGGCGGUCUGAUAAGUUGGACGUGAAAGCCCUGAGCUUAACUUGGGGAGGCCGUUCAAUACUGUCAGGCUAGAGGGAGGCAGAGGAGAGUGGAAUUCCCGGUGUAGCGGUAAAAUGCAUAGAUAUCGGGAGGAACACCAGUGGCGAAGGCGACUCUCUGGGCCUACCCUGACGCUCAGAAGCGAAAGCCAGGGGAGCAAACAGG